RNAcentral lists this ribosomal RNA (257 nucleotides) under uncultured Pseudomonas sp. RNAcentral describes it as "partial 16S ribosomal RNA". It matches the Rfam family "Bacterial small subunit ribosomal RNA", at positions 96 to 354 of the family's 1533-position model. Lineage: Bacteria; Pseudomonadati; Pseudomonadota; Gammaproteobacteria; Pseudomonadales; Pseudomonadaceae. The record is from RNAcentral.
CGGCGGACGGGUGAGUAAUGCCUAGGAAUCUGCCUGGUAGUGGGGGACAACGUUUCGAAAGGAACGCUAAUACCGCAUACGUCCUACGGGAGAAAGCAGGGGACCUUCGGGCCUUGCGCUAUCAGAUGAGCCUAGGUCGGAUUAGCUAGUUGGUGAGGUAAUGGCUCACCAAGGCGACGAUCCGUAACUGGUCUGAGAGGAUGAUCAGUCACACUGGAACUGAGACACGGUCCAGACUCCUACGGGAGGCGGCAGAA